Long non-coding RNA from Dicentrarchus labrax (European seabass), 3393 nucleotides. RefSeq lists it as uncharacterized. The transcript has 2 exons. Lineage: Eukaryota; Metazoa; Chordata; Actinopteri; Moronidae. The record is from RefSeq and is a predicted model, not a curated record.
ACUGAGUCCUCACUGUGUGGUCUGAUUAAAAGUCAUAGAACUUCAAUAAACACUUGGGUUCGCCAGAGAAAAUUGCACUUCUACGUUUAAUAAACUGAAUCCAAACCCUCCUGUCAACAGCUAAUAAAUACCAGAUGGGGAAUAAUUGUCAAAAUGUGCCAAAUGACUCCGGAAUGGAAGAAAAAAAAUCUUUAAGCAACAAAUCACGCAUAAACAAAAGCGAUAAGAUUCAGAUCGCCAGUGUGGGAUGUUCGGUUCGCCAGCUAAUUUAUCAGCGCAAAUACCGUUAUUAGGAUAAGUGAAUAUUGACAUAGGUUGUGUUUGUUGUGGGCACACAGACAGACACUAAUAUAAGACAAGCUGAAGAGACUUAGAAAGAAAACGGGAUGCAUAUCGUCUUUUUUUCCUCCCAAGGAUAGCAGUGCUGUGCAGCGUCAAACGCCCCGCAAAAAGCCCAUUUUCCCGGCUAUCAGGAACCUACAGGACGCCUCUGACACCGCGGAGGUGAAAAAAGGAAAAACAGUGAAAACAAACGCACCUAUUUCCACCUGUGCAGAGGAGAAGCCCCCUGAAACGCACGCCACCUAUCUUCACGGGAGGGGAUAAUUGAGGAGAGCCAAACGUGAGCAUCUUCUGGGUUGAACGUGAAGUUUUUUUUUCUCUUCCUCCCUCUCUCUGUCUCUCUCUCUCUCCCCCCCUCCUCUUCCUCCUCUUUUCUUUCCCUCAGUCUCCUCUCUCUUUCUCCAUCUCUUCUCUUUUUGAGUGAAACCAACUAUGUCGGGCUUCGACGCGGAGCAAAGAACAGGCGACAGUGUGUGUGUGUUUUUUCUCUCCAUUUCUGUCUCUCUCCAGUGUGUGUGUGUGUGUGAGUGUGUUAGUGUGUAGAAAGGGGGGAGAAACUUGGAGCGCGUCCACGCCGGCCGCAAUCAUGUAAGGAUUUUUGCUUUAUUUCUAUUUCCACUCCGUUUAAUUUGCAGAAAUGGCAGGCUUGAUACGGCGGGAUGCAGGAGAGGGGCUGGGGAGGCAAUUCCACAUAUUCUUCAUUAUUGUAAUUGGCUGCGACUGCAAAAGGUUUGGGGAUGUUCGGCUUUUAUCUACGCUGCAAAAAAUGUCCGCCUGGUCGCUGUCAUUUACUGUAAAACAUUGUUUUUUUCGCAAAAAAAUCUGCAUGUGUGGGGAUGGUUCCUCUUGUUUCCUCUAGAAAUCAACGUUUUCUUGUGUUGAGCUUAAUUUUCUUACCGUCGGAAGAUUUAUUUAAUUUGUUGUAAUUUCACUUGUUUUUAGGGAAUUUAUUGGAGAACAUUUGAAGUGUUUUUAACACGAGUUCCUCGGCGCAUUUAGCAGAAUUCGUGUUUGGAUUUUUUGUGAAAUAUUUGAUUUUAAAUAAAAAAAAAAAAAAAAACAAGUUCACAUGGACUUUUUUGCAGCGUAAUAGUAAAUAAUUGUUUUAUUACCUGUGAUGUACCUGCAGCAUCAACGCGUGCUGCAGGUACAUCAAUGCCUCUGUGUGUGUAAUAGAAGUGCAUAAAGUCCACAUACAAUUACACUCCGGAGGGAACAAAUACAUUUGCAUUUUUGCUUCUGCUUAUUUGCACAAGUCAAUUUUCCAAUUGCACCCCCUAACGAAAACCAACCAAAAUGAAUCCUAAAUAAAUGUGGGGCAUUAUACAGAUAUGACUGCACAAACUACAAGCCAGCAGUGACAGAUAUGACUGCAGGAAUAUUGUGAUGAUACUAAAGGAGGUUAAAAAAAAAUACCAUAAAGUACAAUAAAGUGACUGUAAAGUCACUACAGAGAGCCGCAGACACACUGCGAGUCCCUGCAGGAAUAUUAGAGGAAUAUCACAGGGAUAUUCCAGGAUUAUUAGAGUCAUUUUUCGUUCUGGACGCCACUUAACAGGAUGAAUCUCGCAUUUAUUAAAGAAGUCAACCAUCUUCAGCCAUGUCUGAGACAGAGAGAGAGAGAGAGAGAGAGAGAGAGAGAGAGAGAGAGAGAGAGAGAGAGAAAGCUCCACCUUUGCAGCGCCGUGAUUGGUUAUGUAAAUAAAGUAUUAUUUUGUGUCCUGUCCUCCUGCAGUUCGCCACUGUAUGGCUAAUUAAAUCAUCAAUCAAGGGGCUGAACUGGUUUAUGCCCCCCCUCACACACCCCCUCCAAUCCUUAUUCCAAAAAAACAAAAAAAACAAUCAGAUGCAGCAAAAAGAAAUCACAGACCAACAGAGUCUUAGCUUUUGAUAGGGAUUUUCUAUAUAAACUGUUUUUUUAGACUUCGGUUUUUGAGGUUUUAUAAUAAUAAUAAUAAUAAUCAUAAAAUGUUUAAUUAUUAAUAUUCAGAUAACAAUAAUUGUAUUAUUGUUACUAUUAUAAUUAUUAUUAUUAUCUAAAUAUCUUCAACUUUGUUUCCCUCCAACUUGUGGACCGGAGGACUCAGCCAAGGACUCAGUUCCAAAUUGAGUUUUUUUUGGUAAGUUUACCUUAUUCUCUUUAGUAUUUGAAUCUUUUUCCAUCCCGAAAUUUAGUCAUUUUUUUCUUUUCUUCUUAUCGAUCAACAAUGAGGAGGAGGAGGAGGAGGGCAGAAGCGGGGUGAGGCUGCUCUGCCUCCCGUUUUUCUCGGGUCGAAAGUGGAUCCAGUCCUGGGUGAAUUAUUGUCAUGCGUAAUUUACUGCCACGGUGCUUGCAUGUAAACGAAGCAGUCCAGCAAACCCUCUCUCUCCCUGUCUCUCACUUACACACACACACACACACACACAGACACAGACACACUCUCUCUCUCUCUCUCUCUCUCCCUCUCUCUCUCUCUCCCCACACACACACACACACACACACACACACACACACACACACACACACACACACACACACACACACACACACACUCUUGAACCGUAGCUCUGCGUCCCAUUCAUCCAUGCGAGCCUGGAGUGGCACCUCUCGCCUUUUUUUUUUUUUUUUUUUACGCACACAGGCUCUCCUACGUGGGGCCGCAUGUUCACCGUGAAAACGGAUUACAGUCGGUGUGUGACCUAUAGGGGGACCUUGUGUUUAAUGAAUAUAUCGAUUUAAAUGAGGGGAGGGGGUACCAAAAACAACAUGUGCGCAUGGAUUCAUAUUCAUAUUUCUUUUACAUUUUUUGGAUUGUUAAUUAAAAGAACAAGAUGUUGACGCACAGUUGUUAGUGUGAUUAAAUUAAUUAUGAGGAAAAGAUUGUUUGUAAUGUUUUGGGGAAAAUUGUUAUUUAUGAGGUGAACUGUCAACUAAAGCAGGCUGACAGGUUUGUAAUUAGUUACAAAUAAUUCCUAAUGAAUUGUGGUUAUUUUUAACUGUAUGGCUCAAUGUCUCCUCUGUGUUUGUAUUUUUUCUCUAAAUAAAAAAAUGGAAGCUUUUGCAGCACAUUA